GAUGAACGCUGGCGGCGUGCCUAAUACAUGCCAGUCGAGCGAACAGACGAGGAGCUUGCUCCUCUGACGUUAGCGGCGGACGGGUGAGUAACACGUGGAUAACCUACCUAUAAGACUGGGAUAACUUCGGGAAACCGGAGCUAAUACCGGAUAACAUGUUGAACCGCAUGGUUCAACAGUGAAAGACGGUCUUGCUGUCACUUAUAGAUGGAUCCGCGCCGCAUUAGCUAGUUGGUAAGGUAACGGCUUACCAAGGCAACGAUGCGUAGCCGACCUGAGAGGGUGAUCGGCCACACUGGAACUGAGACACGGUCCAGACUCCUACGGGAGGCAGCAGUAGGGAAUCUUCCGCGAUGGGCGAAAGCCUGACGGAGCAACGCCGCGUGAGUGAAGAAGGUCUUCGGAUCGUAAAACUCUGUUAUUAGGGAAGAACAAAUGUGUAAGUAACUAUGCACGUCUUGACGGUACCUAAUCAGAAAGCCACGGCUAACUACGUG
Molecule: ribosomal RNA, 497 nt
Filed under: uncultured bacterium
Lineage: Bacteria
Description: partial 16S ribosomal RNA
Rfam family: Bacterial small subunit ribosomal RNA
Source: RNAcentral